This 271-nucleotide ribosomal RNA is filed under the name uncultured archaeon. RNAcentral's name for it is "partial 16S ribosomal RNA". It matches the Rfam family "Archaeal small subunit ribosomal RNA", at positions 477 to 747 of the family's 1478-position model. The record is from RNAcentral.
CAGCGCCACAAGUGGGAAUCACAAUUAUUGGGCCUAAAGCGUCCGUAGCCUGUCUGAUGAAUCUCUUGUGAAAUCGUUCGGCUUAACCGAACGGCGUGCAGGAGACACUGUCAAACUAGAGACCGGGAGGGGUCAGAGGUAUUCCAUGAGGAGCGGUAAAAUGCUAUAAUCCAUGGAGGACCACCGGUGGCGAAGGCGUCUGACCAGAACGGAUCUGACGGUGAGGGACGAAAGCCAGGGGAGCAAUCCGGAUUAGAUACCCGAGUAGUCC